Molecule: ribosomal RNA, 253 nt
Filed under: uncultured bacterium
Lineage: Bacteria
Description: partial 16S ribosomal RNA
Rfam family: Bacterial small subunit ribosomal RNA
Source: RNAcentral
UACGUAGGGGGCAAGCGUUAUCCGGAUUUAUUGGGCGUAAAGAGCUCGUAGGCGGCCGUUCGCGUCGGAUGUGAAAGCUCAGGGCUCAACUCUGAGAUGCCAUUCGAUACGGGACGGCUAGAGGUAGGUAGGGGAGAGUGGAAUUCCUGGUGUAGCGGUGAAAUGCGUAGAGAUCAGGAAGAACAUCGGUGGCGAAGGCGCUCUGCUGGACCAUAACUGACACUCAGGGACGAAAGCUAGGGGAGCGAAUGGG